AAGAAGAGCAUGCCUACAUCUAUAUUUUGUUACACUUUCUUUUACAGGGAUGAUGGGAAGUGUAGAACCUACGCAGCUGGAAGGAUGAAGAAAGAGGGGGUUAGACAUCCACACUAAGAUUUAAACACGGAGACAACACACUUCCUGAAGGCUCCUAACUUGUAAAACAUUCACUACUCAUGAGAAUGUUGUUUUUCCAAGUGAAGGUCAAAUCCUGAGGCUUAUUUUCUACUGAAGUUUUUGAACUAAGGUGGAGUUGAAGAUGUGCUGAUGCUACGCCAGUGCUUGGAAGGGCAAUGUAGCUGUAUAAAGAGCAUGAAGCCAGGAGUGGCAUUACCACAGGAUGAGGCUGAAAACUCGAAUCCUCGGGGUCAGGCAUUAAAAGAUAACUGA
Molecule: long non-coding RNA, 393 nt
Filed under: Calidris pugnax (ruff)
Lineage: Eukaryota; Metazoa; Chordata; Aves; Charadriiformes; Scolopacidae
Description: lncRNA (ENSCPUG00000005185.1)
Source: RNAcentral